GUCGAGCGCGAGAGUAGCAAUAUUCUUGAGCGGCGAACGGGUGCGUAACACGUGUGCAACCUACCUUAAAGUUCAGAAUAGCCUGCCGAAAGGCGGAUUAAUGCGGAAUGUGGCGGCUCACAGCAUUGUGUGCUUGCUAAAGCCGGGGUCGCAAGACCUGGCGCUUUAAGAGGGGCUCGCGGCCUAUCAGCUUGUUGGCGGGGUAACGGCCCACCAAGGCUAAGACGGGUAGCUGUUCUGAGAGGAAGAUCAGCCACACUGGGACUGAGAUACGGCCCAGACACCUACGGGUGGCAGCAGUUUCGAAUCAUUUACAAUGGGGGAAACCCUGAUAGUGCGACGCCGCGUGGGGGAUGAGGGUCCUUGGAUUGUAAACCCCUGUCACCGGAGAACAAACGCGUAUGGCUAAUAUCCAUACGCCUGAGCUUAUCCGGAGAGGAAGCCGUGGCCAACUCUGUGCCAGCAGCCGCGGUAAUACAGAGACGGCGAGCGUUACUCGGAUUUACUGUGCGUAAAGGGUGCGUAGGUGGCCAAGUGUGUCGGGUGUGAAAUCUCGGAGCUCAACUCCGAAACUGCGCCCGAAACUACUUGGCUUGAGUUUCAGAGAGGGUAGUGGAAUUCCUGGUGUAGCGGUGAAAUGCGUAGAUAUCAGGAGGAAUACCAACGGCGAAGGCAGCUACCUGGAUGAAUACUGACACUGAGGCACGAAAGCGUGGGUAGCAAAAGGGAUUAGAUACCCCUGUAGUCCACGCCCUAAACGGUGCACACUCGGUCUUAGCGGAUUUGACCCCGCUAGGCCCUGAGCUAACGCGUUAAGUGUGCC
RNAcentral lists this ribosomal RNA (823 nucleotides) under uncultured Verrucomicrobiae bacterium. RNAcentral's name for it is "bacterial SSU rRNA". It matches the Rfam family "Bacterial small subunit ribosomal RNA", at positions 61 to 870 of the family's 1533-position model. The record is from RNAcentral. Lineage: Bacteria; Pseudomonadati; Verrucomicrobiota; Verrucomicrobiia.